GUCGGAAACAAAAAUUAAAAGUGCGAAAAAUAAAUCGGGUACUAAGAUCUACUAACUAGAUCCUAGCAUCUACUUGCAAUAAAAAUAAAUAAUAAAAAUUUAAAAAGUAUAAAAAUAAAUUGGUACUAAGAUCUACUAAUUAGAUCCUAGCAUCUACGUGCAAAAAAAUAAAAGAUAAAAAUUUAAAGUGCAGAAAAAUAAAUUUUGCAUUAAUUG
RNAcentral lists this long non-coding RNA (216 nucleotides) under Elaeis guineensis (African oil palm). RNAcentral's name for it is "long non-coding RNA (EGUI_LNC056906)". Lineage: Eukaryota; Viridiplantae; Streptophyta; Magnoliopsida; Arecales; Arecaceae. The record is from RNAcentral.